UACGUAGGUGGCAAGCGUUGUCCGGAAUUAUUGGGCGUAAAGCGCGCGUAGGCGGCUACUUAAGUCGGAUGUGAAAGCCCUUGGCUCAACUGAGGAAGUGCACCCGAAACUGAGUGGCUAGAGUACGAAAGAGGGUCGCGGAAUUCCCGGUGUAGGGGUGAAAUUCGUAGAUAUCGGGAGGAACACCGGUGGCGAAGGCGGCGACCUGGGUCGAUACUGACGCUGAUGCGCGAAAGCGUGGGGAGCAAACAGG
This 253-nucleotide ribosomal RNA is filed under the name uncultured bacterium. RNAcentral describes it as "partial 16S ribosomal RNA". It matches the Rfam family "Bacterial small subunit ribosomal RNA", at positions 524 to 776 of the family's 1533-position model. The record is from RNAcentral.